GAAUCGCGAUAAGUAAUGUGAAUUGCAGAUUUUCCGUGAAUCAUCGAAUCUUUGAACGCACCUUGCGCUCCUUGGUAUUCCGAGGAGCAUGCCUGUUUGAGUGUCAUCGAAACCUCGGAUCGACGCUUCGACCCCGUCGAAGCUCGGUUCGGACUGUGGGAGUCUGCCGGCGAAGCGUGACUUCGUCGGCUCUCCUCAAAAGCAUUAGCUGUGGGUGGCGAGCCUGGCAUGGCACGGCCUGUUCGACGUCGUAGUGAUCGUCGCGGGCUGGAAGUGUACGGCUCGACGUGACCCAUGCUUCUCGAGUCUUGCGAGCCCGUCCCUCCGUGGGACGGCCGCGCCCCAUCGAAGCUUGACCUCAAAUCAGGUAGGACUACCCGCCGAACUUAA
This 390-nucleotide ribosomal RNA is filed under the name Scleroderma citrinum. RNAcentral's name for it is "eukaryotic LSU rRNA". The stretch from base 1 to 106 matches the Rfam family "5.8S ribosomal RNA", at positions 50 to 154 of the family's 154-position model. The record is from RNAcentral. Lineage: Eukaryota; Fungi; Basidiomycota; Agaricomycetes; Boletales; Sclerodermataceae.